RNAcentral lists this non-coding RNA (67 nucleotides) under human gut metagenome. RNAcentral's name for it is "Fluoride riboswitch". It matches the Rfam family "Fluoride riboswitch aptamer (crcB RNA motif)", at positions 5 to 61 of the family's 64-position model. The record is from RNAcentral.
AAAAAGGGAAUGAAGUUCUCCCGUAGCGAAUGCUAAAACCGCGAUAAAAGCUGAUGACUUCUGCAAU